Molecule: long non-coding RNA, 1666 nt
Organism: Phyllostomus discolor (pale spear-nosed bat)
Lineage: Eukaryota; Metazoa; Chordata; Mammalia; Chiroptera; Phyllostomidae
Exons: 2
Source: RefSeq, a predicted model, not a curated record
AUGGUUACUACUUCACUGAUUUGUGUUUUUACACUAUUUACUAUUUUGAAAUUUCUUGAGCAAUGGCCCUAUGUAUGGUAAGCUAGACGUAUUCAAUUCCUGCCAUCCUCAAAAACAUUCGACAGAGGUACUUUAAGUUCAUGAGUACCUGUAAUGGAUGGGUGGGAGGAGUUCUCUGGAGACGUGGUGAUGAGCGAGAUCAACAGUCCCUACCCUUGUGUUGUUAAUUCCAGUGUUUGGAAAAACUGAACAAGUUAUGACACAAAGUAUGAUAAUUGUUUUGAUUGAGAAGUAAGAAGGUGCUCCGAAAAUAGUGAGAAUACCUUAGCUUAUCUAGGUGGCAUCAGGGAAGGCUACUCAGAGGAAGUGGCAUUUCCAAUGACAAAGGACAAAUAGGUAUAUCAGUGAAGAAUGGGGAGACUUCUACAAGAGAAACAUAAAGUUCUAUCUUUUGUAAGCCAUUGCUAGUUGAGCGUUUAUGUAACAUACACACAAACCUGUAUCAUAAUGAAUACAUUCUUUUACCAGAGUAGCUACUUCAUUAAGUAGCUGGCAUGACCUGCCUCUCCUGUGAGCUGGAAGUCAGAGCUACUGGACAGGCAAGUGUUGGGAGUAGCUUUGAGCUCCUGGAUAAAGGGCUCUGGGUUGCUGGCUGUUUAUUUCUCUUUAGGGAGGCUAUUUUUUUGAGGGAGUGGCCCCUGAAAAUCUUAAAACAUACAAAAACAAAAGGCCUGUCAUACGCUCAUACCCCUGCAGUUUCUCAGACAGGUUCCUUUCUGUGAGCUUACCAUUAAUUCUGGAAGGCAGUUUCGAUCUUGGAGCUCCUUGACAGAACUCUCUUCUAGUGCCUCAUCUUUGGGAGCGUUCCCCCUAACAGCAGCAAUCGUGGGGGCCAUUUUACCACUUUUGUUUUCAGGGUGAAGGAUUAUUUCUGAGGUUUAGUGAGUUUGCUCUGGAAAGAGGCUGAGAAGACUUAGCUGUCAUGUGUCUUCUGACAUCUGUCACCUAAAUUCCAGCAGAGCCAUGUAAAUAUGAAACACCAGCCCAGUAAAUUAGUCAGUACGCUGAUGAGUAUGUGUUCAUUAACUGGACCCACUAUUGACUCAGGUACAUCACUGAAGAGAUUAAAAAAUGCUGGAAUAGUGGAUACCUCUCCAUAAUGUGAUUAACUUCUUACUCAUGUCUCUAGGAUGCAUUAAAUUUGUAAUAAGUGAGAGAACUGUGUAGCUGUCAUUGUUGGUUGUCUAGCAUCCAAACACCAUUUCUGUUUUGGUGAAUCCAAGAUGAGUGGAGGUCAAGAUCUGGCUUCCCCCUCUAGAAGCUGAAGAGGAGGAGACAAGCCCCCUCUGGAUUCCUUGGACCUGCCUGUGGACAUUUCGCCAAGGCUCAGCCAGUCAGAGGCCCUUUGCCGAGAGUUUGGAUCUGCAGGGAGUGACAACCAGGCCAGCGGUCGUUCAGAAUGGCUGGGCGGAAUUGAGCCUCGAGCAGGUGGUGCCAAGUGUCCGGGGCUGAUGACGCCAGGGCCGACACCUGCUCGCUGAACCUCUGGUGCCAUCUUGACUUUGCAUGUGCCCCUGAGUUCCUGUAUCCAAGGCUGUCUCUCCAGUCUUCCUGAAAUUCUUUGAGACACCUGGUAUCCUCCCAAUAAUUUUUUUCUGUAAAGUUA